CCCGCCGCCAUGAGGGGUGGCUGUCCCUCGCGCGGCCCCGCCGAUGAAGGUAUAUCAGCUACACUCCUUCCUCUGGCUUCAGCGCAGAUCUGCCUCCCAGAUGUGGAGACGUAAAGCUACUUCUUCCGAAGGAUUUGAAUCCUGCACUUCAGAGAGAUGCAGAAGAAGCAUCAUCACCUGGUAAGAAAUAUGUAUUUCAUGUAAGGUUUCUUCCACAGAGCUGUU
This 225-nucleotide long non-coding RNA is filed under the name Lonchura striata (white-rumped munia). RNAcentral's name for it is "domestica (Bengalese finch) lncRNA (ENSLSDG00000010190.1)". Lineage: Eukaryota; Metazoa; Chordata; Aves; Passeriformes; Estrildidae. The record is from RNAcentral.